AGCGGAGGAAAAGAAACCAACAGGGAUUGCCUCAGUAACGGCGAGUGAAGCGGCAAAAGCUCAAAUUUGAAAUCCCCCGGGAAUUGUAAUUUGAAGAGAUUUGGGUCCGGCCGGCAGGGGUUAAGUCCACUGGAAAGUGGCGCCACAGAGGGUGACAGCCCCGUGAACCCCUUUAACGCCCUCAUCCCAGAUCUCCAAGAGUCGAGUUGUUUGGGAAUGCAGCUCUAAGUGGGUGGUAAAUUCCAUCUAAAGCUAAAUACCGGCGAGAGACCGAUAGCGAACAAGUACAGUGAUGGAAAGAUGAAAAGCACUUUGAAAAGAGAGUGAAAAAGUACGUGAAAUUGUUGAAAGGGAAGGGCUUGCAAGCAGACACUUAACUGGGCCAGCAUCGGGGCGGCGGG
This 401-nucleotide ribosomal RNA is filed under the name Metschnikowia sp. ZT8-1.1. Its description in RNAcentral is "eukaryotic LSU rRNA". It matches the Rfam family "Eukaryotic large subunit ribosomal RNA", at positions 49 to 464 of the family's 3401-position model. Lineage: Eukaryota; Fungi; Ascomycota; Pichiomycetes; Serinales; Metschnikowiaceae. The record is from RNAcentral.